UACGGAGGGGGCUAGCGUUGCUCGGAAUUACUGGGCGUAAAGCGCGCGUAGGCGGCUUUGUAAGUUAGAGGUGAAAGCCCGGAGCUCAACUCCGGAAUUGCCUUUGAGACUGCAUCGCUAGAAUUGUGGAGAGGUGAGUGGAAUUCCGAGUGUAGAGGUGAAAUUCGUAGAUAUUCGGAAGAACACCAGUGGCGAAGGCGACUUACUGGACAGAUACUGACGCUGAGGUGCGAAAGCGUGGGGAGCAAACAGG
RNAcentral lists this ribosomal RNA (253 nucleotides) under uncultured bacterium. RNAcentral's name for it is "partial 16S ribosomal RNA". It matches the Rfam family "Bacterial small subunit ribosomal RNA", at positions 524 to 776 of the family's 1533-position model. The record is from RNAcentral.